Long non-coding RNA from Nicotiana tabacum (common tobacco), 705 nucleotides. RefSeq lists it as uncharacterized. The record is from RefSeq and is a predicted model, not a curated record. NCBI's taxonomy places the organism in Eukaryota, Viridiplantae, Streptophyta, Magnoliopsida, Solanales, Solanaceae.
GGUAAAUCUAAUAUUUCAGGCCAAAACCCUAUUUCCCCAAUUUCGGCCAUAUUUCCCCAAUUUCCUCUAUCUCUAUCUCUCUAUCGAUAUUUUUUUCUUCUGCGAUUUCUCUUCCAUUCCAUCAGUGUUGUUGAUUAUUCUUCGAUUUCUCUUCAACUCUACCUGUGCGGCUGACGGAGGCAAACGACGGAUGGCAAUUUUCGGCUAACGGCAGAAAUUUCAAGCCUAUUCUUCGACUCUUGAAGACCAAUUCUGCUCCAAUUUCUCUUCCAUUCAUCUUUUCGGUGGUUGGUGGCGCAAAGAAAGGUAGAACCUACGGUCUUGGAUCACAAUAUUCUGUAGGUUGUUCUAUGAUAUUGUUGUCUGGUAAUGCGAGUUAUUUGCAAAAUCACGAAGAGGUGGAAGCAUUACAAAAAGAAGUUGAAGAGUUGAAGGAGGAAUGGAAAGAAGAUCGCGCAAAUUUAACAAAUUACAAAGUCUAGUGGAGAAAUUUAUGAGCGGACGUCCAUUUGAUCCUUUGAAUGGCAAGGAUGACGGGGACAAUGAGUUUUAGUUUGUUGUGGUUAUGAUGUUUGAGAUAUUAUUAUUUGUUGUGGUUAGAUAUUUAGACUUGGUAAUAUUUACACUUGACUAUGUUUGUAAUGUUUUAGACUAGAUUGGAUGGUUCUUGAAUGUUUAACUCUUUUUGGAUGUUUUAGUUAUAAA